UCAAUUGCUUCAUAGCUCAACAUCUGGACCACAUUUGGCUUCAUUGUUGGAAAAUAAAUUAGCAUCCCAGGUCACGAACAAGGGGCUGACCUUGCACUGGAAAGCAGCGACCAUGUCUUCAGUUGAUAGACCAGUCUUCCUUGACUAUGGAGAAAAAUCUGAAACGCAUCUCUUUUCUGGAAUUAGUGCCAUCUCUCAGAACAGCCUGAGUCUGCUCACAAUAAACUGGACAUUUGCCCUAGGAUGUGGAGCAAAAGAUGACACUAAUUGGAAGUUGGCACCCUGGAAAACAUGUCACAGCCAUCUCCUGCAGGAAGAUAACCCUUAUCAUGUGCCAGCACUGAACUGUGGGCUCCAUGGACCUGCUUGUGUCUGCUCACACCUGUUCCAACACAGGUGCCAAGAAAUGGGGGGUCAGGAGGAAUUAGACACACAGAGCCUUUGGGAAGCCACAGAAGUCACAGGGCCCUUUGGAAUUAUAAUAGAUUCGACAAGGAGGGGAUGGCCUAUGUAGAUGUAUUUGGCUGUGGUCAUGAGCAUUGAGAAUCCCAUGUCAAGCACCAAUCUGAACAAACUGAACACUGAAGGAAAAAGAAGAUUUAAGGAGCCAGAAAUAGACACCAUGAAAAAGACAGAGGAUUUACAUUACUGGUGUCCUUUGCUGUUCUUUCUGAUUCCUCUGCUGAUGGAGGAGUAGGCUGACAAAGCUUGCAACAGCAGUCAAUGGGGUCGACACGAUAGAAGAUUCUGAAGCUUUUGGGGGCAUCUAUAGUCACUAAGACUGGAGUCAGAUGUGCUGUUCUACAGGUGAGAGGCAGGAAAAAAAUGUGAGCAAAAAUUACUCUUGUCUCUAAGGAGCCUGUGGAGUUGGCCCCUGUUCUGGAGAAGAAGCUUGGAAGGCUCGGCACUGCUGAUGUGGAUUCAUUGAGGAAGUGUGCUCAUCAGAGUUAAGCCAUCCAUCAUUACUCACUCGCCGGGCUUGUGCUUCCCAGACGACCACAUAAUGUCCAGGUUGGACAUACAACUCUGCAUCAGCCCAGGGGAAACAAAUGGCACCCCUUUAGUAGAUUAAAUGGAUUGGGCCAUUCAAGGGAAUCUGUUUUAUGGAAUCACUUGGUUUACUGAAUAGCCUCAUGUUACAGGUAAAUGAAAUCCUACAGCAAAGGAGCCAAGCCUGCAUUUUAGUUAUUUUUCCAGAAGUAGAGCUAUUUGUUGCCAGAAAAAGUUCAGCUUCAUGAUAAUGGGGAACACUGGACCGUGAGACCAUUGGACUAGCAGUAUCCUUUGCAUUUCAAAUAAAAUCCUGUUUUCUCAUCAUGGCUGUAAA
Molecule: non-coding RNA, 1327 nt
Organism: Delphinapterus leucas (beluga whale)
Lineage: Eukaryota; Metazoa; Chordata; Mammalia; Artiodactyla; Monodontidae
Source: RefSeq, a predicted model, not a curated record